Molecule: ribosomal RNA, 455 nt
Filed under: Zopfiella latipes
Lineage: Eukaryota; Fungi; Ascomycota; Sordariomycetes; Sordariales; Chaetomiaceae
Description: eukaryotic LSU rRNA
Rfam family: 5.8S ribosomal RNA (bases 143-296)
Source: RNAcentral
CAUUAAAGAGUUGCAAAACUCCCACAAACCAUCGCGAACGUUACCCAGACGUCGUUGCUUCGGCGGGCUCGCCCGCCGGGGGGACGCUACCAGACUCUUGCAGUUAUACGGCCUCUCUGAGUAUGAUUUUUCAAUAAGUCAAAACUUUCAACAACGGAUCUCUUGGUUCUGGCAUCGAUGAAGAACGCAGCGAAAUGCGAUAAGUAAUGUGAAUUGCAGAAUUCAGUGAAUCAUCGAAUCUUUGAACGCACAUUGCGCCCGCCAGUAUUCUGGCGGGCAUGCCUGUUCGAGCGUCAUUUCAACCUUCAAGCCCUGCUUGUGUUGGGGUCCUGCGGCUGCCCGCAGGCCCUGAAAACCAGUGGCGGGCUCGCUAGUCACACCGAGCGCAGUAGCACAUCUCGCUCAGGGCGUGCGGCGGGUUCUUGCCGUUAAACACCCCCCUUUCCACAGGUGAC